GAUUAACGCUGGCGGCAGGCUUAACACAUGCAAGUCGAGCGGGGAAAGGUAGCUUGCUACCUGACCUAGCGGCGGACGGGUGAGUAAUGCUUAGGAAUCUGCCUAUUAGUGGGGGACAACGUUCCGAAAGGAACGCUAAUACCGCAUACGUCCUACGGGGGAAAGCAGGGGAUCUUCGGACCUUGCGCUAAUAGAUGAGGCUAGGUCGGAUUAGCUAGUUGGUGGGGUAAAGGCCUACCAAGGCGACGAUCUGUAGCGGGUCUGAGAGGAUGGUCCGCCACACUGGGACUGAGACACGGCCCAGACUCCUACGGGAGGCAGCAGUGGGGAAUAUUGGACAAUGGGCGCAAGCCUGAUCCAGCCAUGCCGCGUGUGUGAAGAAGGCCUUUUGGUUGUAAAGCACUUUAAGCGAGGAGGAGGCUCCUUUAGUUAAUACCUAAAGAGAGUGGACGUUACUCGCAGAAUAAGCACCGGCUAACUCUGUGCCAGCAGCCGCGGUAA
Molecule: ribosomal RNA, 501 nt
Filed under: uncultured bacterium
Lineage: Bacteria
Description: partial 16S ribosomal RNA
Rfam family: Bacterial small subunit ribosomal RNA
Source: RNAcentral